GUGGCCGAGCACGACAAGGACGUGCAGCAGCUCUGCGAGACCCUGGAGCAGCAGAUCCAGCAGGAGCAGCUGCGGCUGCAGCAGCAGAGCAUGGCCCGGAGCCGGCAGCAGGGCGAGGAGCUGCAGCGGGUGCUGGAUGCCAGCGAGAGGGAGGUGCAGCGCUUGGUCACGGCGCAGAUGGAGCUGGAGCGGCGCUGCCACAGCCUGCAGAGCUCCCAGCAAGCGACCAGCACGGAGAACCAGCAGCUGCAGGAGAGCAACCGGGCCCUGCAGCAGCACCUGCAGCACCUGCACCAGCAGCUGCAGCACACCCAGGGCCACCUGAGGACCAUGAGGGCGACAGUGGCCUGGGAGCACAUGGGGGAGCCCGGGGACAGAGUGGUGGCAGAGUUGCCCAUCGUGGUGCCAUUGUCCCCACAGCUGAGUCCUGGGAAGAGCGAGAAGUUCCGCUCCG
Molecule: long non-coding RNA, 454 nt
Filed under: Junco hyemalis (dark-eyed junco)
Lineage: Eukaryota; Metazoa; Chordata; Aves; Passeriformes; Passerellidae
Description: lncRNA (ENSJHYG00000016885.1)
Source: RNAcentral